AACAGAGACAGAGCAAGAUUUUUUUUCCUUCAGUCUCUUCAGUGAGGAGAUAGAAGGAACAGGCUGCCCAAGAAGGUGCAAGAGGCUGCUGGUAAGUACAUUCCUCUGUGGAGCGCCUCAAAAUCAUGUCUUACCCAGGCCAGAACUGUGACUGAGUCUAGCUAUAUCACUUUCUAAAUGAGAGUCCAAUUUCUUAAGCUGUGAUUUAUCAGGAGGCUCCCUCCAUCUCCUUCUGUCUGACCAUCAGGGUCAGCAGUUUCAGCUUAGACUUGAGAAACCUUUACCAACAAAAAUGUUAUGCACAAGAGCUUAUUCCUAAAAACCAAUCAAACUCGACCCAAACUAAAAAACCCCAAAAAUAUCAGUUCCAAAAUUAUCAACAUAUACAUCCUCACAAAAAAAAAAAAAAAAAAAAAAAAAAAAAAAAAAAAAAAAAUCAAAUCCCCAUUUCCCCACACUUAGGAGGACAAGAAAGACACAUUAUUCAUUCCCAUGGAAUUUUUCAAAUUUAAAGGUUCAAAAUCAGAUUGGCAUCCACCUAUCACUUUAAACAGGGACCGGAUAGUCCAGUUAUUUGGAACAUGAUAUCAAAACCUCAUUAUUUAUGUACUUUGCAUUCAGAGUUGACCUGGAAUCAUUAAAAGCUUGGAAAAUGCUGAAGAAUUUCAAGCAAAUUAGCAUUAUUGCUACUAAAAUCUUUAAUAAGUUAAAAAAACCAACUCAUUAACUUUGGACUUGAUCCCAUGCUUUUCAGCAGGUUGGCUUAGGCAAUAAACACCCAUUGGGUUCAGUUCACCUUCCAAAGAAAAUGCUGACUAUAGCUUUUCUGCAUCUCACAGAGUUUGCUUGGAGGCUGCAUGCAGAACCAGAACUGUCAGCGCUGGAAGAUGGAGGAGUUCCCUGCUCUGGGAAUAUCUACAGAAAGCCCAAAUCACAAUCACUGUCUGAAAGUAAGAACAGCAAUAAACAGAGGGCGAUGUCUUGGUCCUGUUCCCAAAAAGAGAGCCACUUAAUACACCCCUUAAGAACUGCAUAAAUCUGUAUAGACAAAGAUGAGUUUUUUAUCAUCCAAAUUAUUCCCAAUCAAACUCCCCACUGCUACUGAACGUUCAGAGAAUUUUUGUUUCUCCUGCACACUGUCCAGAGGAAAUUUUAGGGUUUCUAAAAGGUAUUAUAUAUAAAAGACAUAUAUAUUAUAUAAAAAGAUAUUAACCCACACUGAUUUGUUAUUGGCACUCCUGAGAAUUUUUCUUGUUUCUCCUUUGCACAGCCCAGAGUGUAUCAAAUGACCUUCCCCUAAAACCACUGAACGGGCAGGGGCAUUACAGAGGUGCCCCAACCCUCUGAUCAAUUUUGUGGCCUUCUUUUGUAGCUAAGAGGUCUAAUUUUGUUACCAAUUAUCAUUUUGUCUUUUCCUUUUUUUUUUUCAUUUUGAAUAUUAGCCACAUAGAUUAGAUUUGUUUUCUGUCUUCCUAUACCUUACAAUUUGUAUUUCAAUCCUGACCACUAAAAGCAUCCUAUCACAACAAGAGGCUACAACUGCUCUCACACACUUUUUGGGAACCUUUUAUCUUUUGUUUCUAAACUACAGUUUGGGACAUCAUAACUGAAGUUCAUACAUUGCAUAAUGUGCAGUAUUUACCAGACAUGAGAUGUCAUGAAAUCUUGCUCUAGUGCAGCACUUAUCAGUAUUUUCAAGCUGUAAGUCUCAUUUGAGAGGAAAAUACUAAGUUUUCAGAAAAGUAAGAGGAAAAAAGGAAGUAUUCGCACUGGCUCCCCUCUGGUGUCUAUCAUCUUCUGUUUCUCCUCAGUGUCCAUCCUGUUCCUGUAGAUAUCUUCCUGCUAAUGCUUUGGCAAAUUAUUGCUGUGUGUUGUUAUUUUUUUCAUAUUAGUAUUACAAUUUUGUUCUAAUAAAUUACUGCUAGUUCUGCGCA
RNAcentral lists this long non-coding RNA (1934 nucleotides) under Cyanistes caeruleus (blue tit). RNAcentral describes it as "lncRNA (ENSCCEG00000005665.1)". Lineage: Eukaryota; Metazoa; Chordata; Aves; Passeriformes; Paridae. The record is from RNAcentral.